ACUCCCCAAAAUUAACACACACAUCCUUAUCCUCGUCCACCGACCUGAUCAUCCUCUCGCAAUCCUCGACCCCGCACGACCGCACCUACCCCCCAGCUUCCUCAGCACCAUCUGCAGCUCCUUGGCCGAGACCACCCCAUUCCGAUCCAGGUCGUACGCGUCAAACGCGUCCUUCAGCUCCGACUCGGCGUCGUUCCCGGACCUCUGGAAAUCUUUGAACUCCUUGUCCACGAACCCAUCGAUUCAUCGUUCAUCACCAGGACUCCGAUUUCCCCAUCGAUUACGAUACCGACAAUGGAUUCGAGGUGCUCAAAUUCCAAAUAUUUUCGCUCACUUCGAUCGAUCCUGAGGAGCAAAAGAUCUUAGUUGAGGAUCAGAAUUUGAUCAUGACUGAAUCCUCUGAUCUCGAAUCCAUCUCCUCUAAGCUCCA
This is a long non-coding RNA of Asparagus officinalis (garden asparagus), 430 nucleotides long. RefSeq lists it as uncharacterized. The record is from RefSeq and is a predicted model, not a curated record. The transcript is spliced from 3 exons. Lineage: Eukaryota; Viridiplantae; Streptophyta; Magnoliopsida; Asparagales; Asparagaceae.